This 629-nucleotide ribosomal RNA is filed under the name Cortinarius fulvescens. RNAcentral's name for it is "eukaryotic LSU rRNA". It matches the Rfam family "Eukaryotic large subunit ribosomal RNA", at positions 1 to 618 of the family's 3401-position model. Lineage: Eukaryota; Fungi; Basidiomycota; Agaricomycetes; Agaricales; Cortinariaceae. The record is from RNAcentral.
GUGACCUCAAAUCAGGUAGGACUACCCGCUGAACUUAAGCAUAUCAAUAAGCGGAGGAAAAGAAACUAACAAGGAUUCCCCUAGUAACUGCGAGUGAAGCGGGAAAAGCUCAAAUUUAAAAUCUGGCAGUCUUUGGCUGUCCGAGUUGUAAUCUAGAGAAGUGCUAUCCGCGCUGGACCGUGUACAAGUCUCCUGGAAUGGAGCGUCAUAGAGGGUGAGAAUCCCGUCUUUGACACGGACUUGCCAGGGCUUUGUGAUGUGCUCUCGAAGAGUCGGGUUGUUUGGGAAUGCAGCUCAAAAUGGGUGGUAAAUUCCAUCUAAAGCUAAAUAUUGGCGAGAGACCGAUAGCGAACAAGUACCGUGAGGGAAAGAUGAAAAGAACUUUGGAAAGAGAGUUAAACAGUACGUGAAAUUGCUGAAAGGGAAACGCUUGAAGUCAGUCGCGUUGUCCAGGGAUCAACCUUGCUUUUGCUUGGUGCACUUUCUGGUUGACGGGUCAGCAUCAAUUUUGACUAUUGGAAAAAGAUUAGGGGAAUGUGACAUCUUUGGAUGUGUUAUAGCCCUUGGUUGCAUACAAUGGUUGGGAUUGAGGAACUCAGCACGCCGCAAGGCCGGGUUUUCAAACCACG